UACGUAGGGGGCAAGCGUUGUCCGGAUUUAUUGGGCGUAAAGAGCGUGUAGGCGGCCGUACAGGUCAGCUGUGAAAACUCGAGGCUCAACCUCGAGACGUCGGUUGAAACCGUACGGCUAGAGUCCGGAAGAGGAGAGUGGAAUUCCCGGUGUAGCGGUGAAAUGCGCAGAUAUCGGGAGGAACACCAGUGGCGAAGGCGGUUGCCUGGGGCUUUGCUGACGCUGAUGCGCGAAAGCGUGGGGAGCGAUCCGG
Molecule: ribosomal RNA, 253 nt
Filed under: uncultured bacterium
Lineage: Bacteria
Description: partial 16S ribosomal RNA
Rfam family: Bacterial small subunit ribosomal RNA
Source: RNAcentral